Molecule: non-coding RNA, 75 nt
Organism: Ictidomys tridecemlineatus (thirteen-lined ground squirrel)
Lineage: Eukaryota; Metazoa; Chordata; Mammalia; Rodentia; Sciuridae
Source: Rfam
AGGGGUGUAGCUCAGUGGUAGAAGAGUGCUUACCUAGUGUGCAUGAGGCCCUGGGUUCAAUCCCUAGCACCACAU